GAUGAACGCUAGCGGGAGGCCUAACACAUGCAAGUCGAACGGGAUUGAGAGCUUGCUCUCAUGAGAGUGGCGCACGGGUGCGUAACGCGUAUGCAACUUACCCUUUACUGAAGAAUAGCCCAGAGAAAUUUGGAUUAAUACUUCAUAGUUCUUUUGGCCCGCAUGGGUCGAGGUUUAAAGCUCCGGCGGUUAAAGAUGGGCAUGCGUGACAUUAGUUUGUUGGUGAGGUAACGGCUCACCAAGACUACGAUGUCUAGGGGUUCUGAGAGGAUGAUCCCCCACACUGGUACUGAGACACGGACCAGACUCCUACGGGAGGCAGCAGUGAGGAAUAUUGGUCAAUGGACGCAAGUCUGAACCAGCCAUGCCGCGUGCAGGAUGACGGCCCUAUGGGUUGUAAACUGCUUUUAUUAAGGAAUAAACCCUCCUACGUGUAGGAGGCUGAACGUACUUAAAGAAUAAGCAUCGGCUAACUCCGUGCCAGCAGCCGCGGUAAUACGGAGGAUGCAAGCGUUAUCCGGAUUCAUUGGGUUUAAAGGGUUCGCAGGCGGCUUUGUAAGUCAGUGGUGAAAUCCUGCCGCUUAACGGUAGAAUUGCCAUUGAUACUGCAGGGCUUGAGUAUGGUUGAGGUAGGCGGAAUGUGUGGUGUAGCGGUGAAAUGCAUAGAUAUCACACAGAACACCGAUUGCGAAGGCAGCUUACUAAACCAUUACUGACGCUGAGGCACGAAAGCGUGGGGAGCGAACAGGAUUAGAUACCCUGGUAGUCCACGCCGUAAAUGAUGUUCAUUCGCUGUUUGCAAUACACACUAAGCGGCUUAGCGCAAGCAUUAAAUGAACCACCUGGGGAGUACGAUCGCAAGGUUGAAACUCAAAGGAAUUGACGGGGGCCCGCACAAGCGGUGGAACAUGUGGUUUAAUUCGAUGAUACGCGAGGAACCUUACCUGGGCUUAAAUGUAGUGCAUAAACGGGAAACUGUUUUUUCCUUCGGGACUCUUUACAAGGUGCUGCAUGGUUGUCGUCAGCUCGUGCCGUGAGGUGUCGGGUUAAGUCCCAUAACGAGCGCAACCCCUAUCGUUAGUUGCCAGCGAGUCAAGUCGGGGACUCUAACGAGACUGCCGGUGUAAACCGCGAGGAAGGUGGGGAUGACGUCAAAUCAGCACGGCCCUUACGUCCAGGGCUACACACGUGUUACAAUGGCCGAUACAAAGGGCAGCUACCAGGUGACUGGAUGCUAAUCUCUAAAGUCGGUCUUAGUUCGGAUCGAAGUCUGCAACUCGACUUCGUGAAGCUGGAUUCGCUAGUAAUCGCAUAUCAGCAUGAUGCGGUGAAUACGUUCCCGGGCCUUGUACACACCGCCCGUCACACCAUGGGAGCGGGUUCUGCCAGAAGUAGUUAGCCUAACCGAAAGGGGGGCGAUUACCACGGCAGGGUUCGUGACUGGGGUG
RNAcentral lists this ribosomal RNA (1448 nucleotides) under uncultured prokaryote. RNAcentral's name for it is "partial 16S ribosomal RNA". It matches the Rfam family "Bacterial small subunit ribosomal RNA". The record is from RNAcentral.